GGAUCGUAAAGCACUUUCGCCAGGGAUGAUAAUUACAGUACCUGGUAAAGAAACCUUGGCUAACUCCGUGCCAGCAGCCGCGGUAAUACGGAGGGGGUUAGCGUUGUUCGRAAUUASUGGGCGUAAAGCGUACGUAGRCGGMUUGGCAAAGUUGGGGSUGAAAUCCCAGGGCUCAACCCUGGAACUGCCUCCAAAACUAUCAGUCUAGACGUUCGAGUAGAGGCUGAGUGGMAUUCCAAGUGUAGAGGUGAAAUUCGUAGAUAUUUGGAGGAACACCAGUGGCGAAGGCGGCUAACUGSCUCGAKACUGACGCUGAGGUACGAAAGUGUGGGGAGCAAACAGGAUUAGAUACCCUGGUAGUCCACACACGUAAACGAUGAAUGCCAGUCGUCGGGCAGUAUACUGUUCGGUGACACACUAACGGAUUAAGAUU
RNAcentral lists this ribosomal RNA (433 nucleotides) under uncultured Alphaproteobacteria bacterium. RNAcentral describes it as "bacterial SSU rRNA". It matches the Rfam family "Bacterial small subunit ribosomal RNA", at positions 420 to 867 of the family's 1533-position model. The record is from RNAcentral. Lineage: Bacteria; Pseudomonadati; Pseudomonadota; Alphaproteobacteria.